This 465-nucleotide ribosomal RNA is filed under the name uncultured bacterium. RNAcentral describes it as "partial 16S ribosomal RNA". It matches the Rfam family "Bacterial small subunit ribosomal RNA", at positions 338 to 795 of the family's 1533-position model. The record is from RNAcentral.
CCUACGGGUGGCAGCAGUGGGGAAUAUUGCGCAAUGGGCGAAAGCCUGACGCAGCGACGCCGCGUGAGGGAUGAAGGUCUUCGGAUCGUAAACCUCUGUCAGCAGGGAAGAACGGUCACUGUGCUAAUCAGCAGUGAAUUGACGGUACCUGCAAAGGAAGCACCGGCUAACUCCGUGCCAGCAGCCGCGGUAAUACGGCGGGUCGGUGCUUUAAUCGGAAUUACUGGGCGUAAAGCGCUCGUAGGCGGUAUGUCAAGUCAAGGGUGAAAUGCCCGGGCUCAACGUGGGAACUGCCUUUGAAACUGGCAAACUGGAGUGUGUGGGAGGAUAGUGGAAUUCCAGGUGUAGGGGUGAAAUCCGUAGAUAUCUGGAGGAACAUCAGUGGCGAAGGCGACUAUCUGGCACAUAACUGACGCUGAGGAGCGAAAGCGUGGGUAGCAAACAGGAUUAGAUACCCCAGUAGUC